Molecule: long non-coding RNA, 1542 nt
Filed under: Struthio camelus australis
Lineage: Eukaryota; Metazoa; Chordata; Aves; Struthioniformes; Struthionidae
Description: lncRNA (ENSSCUG00000002224.1)
Source: RNAcentral
CUCCCCGCCGCGGCUGAAGGAAAGGCGAGACGAAGAGAAGAAAGAAAUAAAAGACUCCAAAAGCAAAGAGCGUCAGAUCACUGGUAACGGAGCAGCGUCCCGGCUCGCCGCGUGGCGGCGAGGAGGAGGAGGCGUUUUUGUUGUUUGCCGAUACCUCCUUGGUCCUGGGUUCUCGGACCAAAAUACCGCUUAGGUUGCGACCAGCGCAGGAGGCACUGGUUUCUCUUGUUGAGUUCUUUAGUUUGGUGAACUCAUAUACUUUGUUGCCGUUUCAGAGGAAGAUUUGCAGGGCAAGACGGAAGAGGAAAUUGAGAUGAUGAAAAUGAUGGGGUUUGCCUCUUUUGACACGACAAAGGUGAGUGUGGAUCGGGCGAUCCCACGGCUGUGCUGUACGGCUAGAGGUGGAGUCUGGAAACGGCUUUCCACUCUCUCUCCCCCUGGCUGUGAUGUAUGAAGGGUUUGUGCACAAAGGAGUCGUUGAGUCCGCUUGCCCGAACAGUCCCUCGUUAGCACCUGACAGGUCCUAACGAUGAUGUCCGGCUUUGCUCCGUAUGUGCCCAAGUCUCUUUCCCNNNNNNNNNNNNNNNNNNNNNNNNNNNNNNNNNNNNNNNNGCUGUGGUGCUUGGGCACAGAUCAGUGUUUUGCCCCUCGUAGAGGCAUCCUGUGUGAAAUGUCCCGAUCCCACCUGUACGUGUGCUCUCUGCGUUACCGUGCCCUUUCUCCGGCAGGCUCCGGACAGCGCGCUGACUUUUGGACCGUUUUUCUUGUGCCUUUCAGGGGAAGAAGGUGGACGGUGCCGCAAAUGCCUAUGCCAUCAACGUGUCACAGAAGAGAAAAUACAGGCAGUACAUGAACAGAAAAGGAGGAUUCAACAGACCUUUGGAUUUCAUUGCUUGACGCUUGGAUUGGUCCAGCUCGGUAUUUCAUGCUGUGGCAAUUGAGAUGGAUUCCUAAAACCCAGCCUGGUGCAGCAAAUCCGACUCUUCAACACCUCACUUGGGCUGGCUUUUACGGUCUGCCUCUCCUCUGUCCCCGUGCAGCUCUGGUGGUUUACCUGAGGACUAAGUGUGCUGUGUUUCUCCUGGAGCUCGGGGUGAGGCUGAGGUUGACACCCAGUUCCUGAUCUCAAGCGUGGCUAGUUUUUCCUCCGGACUUUCGGGCAGGGUGGGUUGAGGCAGCGUUGAGAUGGCGACACCGCCGAUCUUUCCGCAGCGCUUAAUCAGCCCGGGCCACGUGGCGUGACUUGUCACAGGCUCCUGUCUGCCGUCCUUAGAUAAGGCCCCACUGGUGGCCAGGGAUUUCCAAAUCAGCAGGAUGUAGUAGUCACUUUUUUAGUUUCAUGUUCUCGAUAAUUAGAAACUGCUCGUCACGCAAGCAAGCGUGAGCUUGCUCCAGCCUGGUACGUGGGCAGGGAGGGACCUCGCGGCUCAGCCUCGGCCGAAGCCGAGCGCCGCCGGCCAGAAACCCCCUCGGCCUCGAACGGGUGCUCCGAGGAGGAACCUCGAUUCCUGUCCUCCGCGACGAGCUCCGAAACCGGCGGAG